UUGGAAAAUGGAAGAUAGUUGAUGACAUUAUACAGUUUCCUUUGCUGAAAAGAUCAAGGAUACUCAUGUAAAGAAAAAUUAACUUCCUCCCUCCUCAGGGACUAUGCUCACAGUUUAAAUAGCUGUUGAGUAGUAGUAGUCUACUUCUGGAGGCUGGUGCCAGCCACUUGGCUUGCCAAGGGUAUGGAUAACUGAGAGAAGCAGGAAGGUGAGGCUCAAUAACUGCUUUAUGAAUAUGACCCAAUCUCCACCCUCAAGCCUCAUCCUACAGUCAUAUAACCCUUCAGUCUGACACUUGCAUAUGAGCUGAGCAACUUUAAAGCAAAACAACAUUUGGCAUGUGUAUGGAGCAUGACAUGAAAAUGAUGAUCAGCAAAGGGAAUACUUGACAUUGUUUAAUUCUGGUUCU
RNAcentral lists this long non-coding RNA (409 nucleotides) under Bos taurus (domestic cattle). Its description in RNAcentral is "long non-coding RNA NONBTAT026544". Lineage: Eukaryota; Metazoa; Chordata; Mammalia; Artiodactyla; Bovidae. The record is from RNAcentral.